Molecule: ribosomal RNA, 635 nt
Filed under: Sinergasilus polycolpus
Lineage: Eukaryota; Metazoa; Arthropoda; Copepoda; Poecilostomatoida; Ergasilidae
Description: 12S ribosomal RNA
Source: RNAcentral
UAACCUUUACUUUGCUACGACUUAUCUCUAUAAGAGAGUGACGGACAAUAUGAGCUUAGUUUAAAACUUAUUCAUUUUUUUAUAAUUACUUUUAAAUCCUAAUUUAAUUUAAGAAUUAACUCGAAUUCGAAUUGCAUUUCAAAAAAUCCUUUAAAUAUCUAUAUGUUAUUUGAUUUGAAUUUAAUUAUUAAAUUAUUUUGUAAACAAUCACACAUAAGAUUUUUUAAAGUAAAUAAAAUUGAGGAUAAUCAAAUUAUUUUUCAAAAUUCUCUAAUAAGGAUAAACUACAGCCACUUAUUUUAAGUUUUUAAAACUACUUUACUAUUUACCAAUCUUAUACCAAGGUUCUAGUCUUGUUUUAUUUUAGAUUUUUAAAAAGUUAUUUCAAUUUAUUUUCGUACUUGUUAAUUAAACCUAUAACGUAAAAAAUAAAUUUUAUUUUUAGCAAUAUUAAUAUACACUCUAAAGUCUAACCGCGGCUGCUGGCACUUUUUUCACCGAGUUUUUUACUAAAUCAAAUUUUUUAAAUUUAUAAAUAUUUUCACUAUACUUCUUAAUUCAUUUAACUUAUAUAAAAAUUUUAGUAAAAGAUUAAUUAACUAAUAAUCAAUUAUUUUUUAUUUUUCUCAAUUUAU